UUAAGUUUCCGCAUAUCCCGUGUGUACUCAAUUUCUACACAGAGGAGUACACAACACGACCAUUGUCACCUUCCGCUUAGAGAUUUACAUAUUAUUUUUUCUUUACACAAAGAUCAUGUGAAUUAAGUGUAUGCACAGUACCAUCCAUAGAUAUAUAAUUGCAGGACAAGUCUCGCAGGACAAGUCUCGAUGAUGUGGCGCAACCAAAACUUAGCAUUUGUAUUUAUCUAUUUUUAUAAGUUUUUGACAAUUAAUCCUGCUUCAAAUUGCCAAUUAAUCCCAGUUUAAUACAACCACGUAGCUGCCAGAAGGUUCCACGAUCAUAAACGCCACUUUGCUUUACUAAUUCUGCCGCAAAAGGUUCGACAACAAAAUACGACGCUUACUCAAUUCUACCUUAUUUCACGGGACUCUUCCUGUUCUUCCUAUUCUCCCUGUUCUUGCCAUCAACACCGUCGUUUAAGUGCCAUUUCCGAGAGGGAUGUCUAUAUCGUCUUCUCGCUAGACUAUGCAAAUCUGCUCUGUGGUGCCGGAAGAAGACAGGAUGACUCCCUAUGCAAAAAAGUUAAGAUCUUUAGGUCUCCUUAAUACUUAUUUGAUUGCUUUCAUACAGUUUUAGAUCUUUUUAUUUCAUGUUUUUGUCAAAUUAGCAGAUUAGUGAUGUUAAGUCUUCCUUCAAGGGUUUUCUAAAAGAACUAAGCCAAGUUUGUUAUUUUGGGGUUUCUCCAGUUAUUGCUAAGUGACUAUUUCUGAAGUUAGGAUUUGUGUACCUAUUGCAGAUUGCAAUUUAUUGAAUAUUCUAUAAUAUAUGUAACUAUUCUGUUCUAUGCCCUUGGACGCUGCCCAUUGAUUGGUUCAGUUUUCCUGAUUUACUAUCGUGGCGUUGGGUCUUUAAAACUAUGGUUAAAGGAUAUUUGCUUUUGUUAUCCCUUUCCAAAUCUUAGCCUACUUUCUCCAUGACUUUUGAUUGAACUACAUAAGGAUACCUAUUAACAACAUUUUUCCCUCAACUUAAACAUAUAAUAGUACAAAACUCUCACUAUACAAUGUUUGUGGUCAAGAAUGAUUCGCCAAAUAGUUCAAUUUGAUAAGGCUGAUCAGAAAGAAAAAAAAGGUUAGAGGACCGUAUUUACAUGAUCUAGAAUAAACUUUAAGAAGGUUGUGAUUCUACUUCUUCCUACAAAUUAAUAUCCAUCAGGUUAUCCUAAACACUUUCGUAUAUGCCCACGCCAUCAGGAACAAAUUACAGAGAAUAAGACUUUCUAGACCGUCUUGUUUUCCAGGAAAUAAAUUGGAUAAAUACAAAGAAGUAGAUAUGAACUUCUAAUAUUACCUAAAAGUUUUGGAUGGAUAAUUUUGCAGGUUCUGCUAGAAUUAAGAGAAAGAAAACUGUCAUACCUACAAUUUGACUAGCAAUGGUCACAGUAACUGACUAAUGAUCCAUCUUGUGUGGAUCUAAAUUCUGCUUCUGCAAGUAUGCAGCUGCUAUCACCACUAUUGUGCAUACAUAGUUUGAACAAAACACAAUGGGUUGAAUCCACAGAAUCGUUCCAAGAUACGCCUCUAUACCGAGUAGUAUUUCUCAUAAUCAUCUUUCUCAUGUAGUUUUAUUCUUCGACUAUUUUUUCUCUUUUUUUGUAUAACUUCUUUGGUUACAUAAUUAAUAUAGUGUUUGAAUGCUCUCUUUCUCUCAUGCUCUUUUGACAGCUUCAAGCCCAUAAUUUAGUAGCCUUUGACCUGUUUGGCUCUGCAUCCGGAAUUGAUCCUUCUAUGCAACAAUUGUUUGGAACUAGAGCAUUUGGAUUUUGGAGUAACCUCAUUAGAAUCAUUAAUUACAACUUCUUUUUGAUGUUAAAAGUCUCUCGGCGGUAAAAUCUUGAAUAUAGAUCUAUUAUUUAGUUCCUUUUUACCAACUGCUGUUUUUGAAGUCAGUAUUUUUGUGCUUUGUAUUGGCAAUGUAAGAUUUCAUGCAUCAAAUUGUGAAGCCUUAAUUGGAGAACCCAAAAGGUAUUUAUGCUUUCUUGAGUUAUUUUCCUUUUCUGGAUUUUGACAAUAUAGCCAAAAUAUUCUUUCCUUUUAAAAAGAGCUGCACAAUAUCUGGUUGAGUUAUAUUACACAUUGUUGCAGCGAAAUACUUCAGUUGUGAUUAUCUAUACUUACCAAAUUGAGUUAUCAAAAUUAAACAAGAAAGAAGUCUAUCGGGGGUCUUUUUUCUUUAUUCUUAUUGCUGAGGAGUUCUUUUGGUUGCUUAAAAAUUUGGCCCUGAUAAAGUUACUACUAAGUUUGAGCAGAGGCCUCCAUCGUAUCCCCGAUUUGAAUAUGUUCUUUUGGUUAACUACAUCCGUGUCUCGGGAAAGUUUUUGUAUGAGAGACGUAUUGACUGUGAGCUUUAGUAAUGAGAAUCAGUCCCACAACGGUGAUUAUUGCUUGAGUUUCUACCAGAGUAAUGCGACACAUGUUUUCCCAAAUGAAGGAUAAAUCUCUAUUUUAUUUUGAUAAUGAGUUUUGAGUUUUAAGAUGCUCACAAUUUAGUACCAAGAAACAGAAAACAUAUCCUUGGAAAUUCCUAAUCCAGAUAGGCCAACAUAGAGAUGGGACAUAUUAGAGCCACAUUCUAGGUGUUAGAGAUUGGAAUUUUAACUAUACUAUCUAUUUAUCUUCCUCUUUUUUUUCCUGUUUUUAUUCUAUAUUCACCCUUCUGUAGUAUAAUAACUAUCAAGUGUAGUUUCUAUGUUGAAUCUGUUGAGGAGAUAUUGAAAAAGAUUUUGGGAUAAUGCAUCACCUUUGUUUGAUGUUUGCCAUCUAUUUGUCUUCUUUUUCUUUGUGAUCUACCUUUGUAACUUGCUUUGUUAUCUUCUCUUUUUUCCUUUUUGCAUUACUUUAUUAGUAAAUUAGCAUGUUUUUACUGAUUCUGAUUCUGGUUCUGGAUGCUCCCUUUCUCUUAGGAAUUGAAUUUAGUGAAAAGGUACGAAAGCAAAAUCCAAGAAAUAGGAGUAAAAUUGCUUAAUUUUCAUAACUUCAAUAGUUAAAAAGCACGAUGAACCUGUUGAUUAUUUGGGGUUUGACUAUGUAACUUCAUUCAUAGGAUUUCAACUUCACCGUCAAGUCAGCAAAUGGAUUCAUGUUAGGGCACUUAAUUCCUAAUUCUAUCUUGGUCAAUACUGGUGACCUUCUUGAUUGGAAGAUUUUCGAUGUGUAUAUGCAAGACAUUGUACCUUAGAGCUAUGGUGAACACAAUUAAGCAUAUCAAUAGCUGCUACACUCAUGGUCUGUCACUUGAAAUAAUUUGUCCCUCAUUUGUAUAAAGUGACAACAACCAUCCAAUUUAUAACUUUAGAUUAGUGAAGUACUAAGGACUACAUGGAUUUGCAGUAACCAGCUUGACCAAACAAUCCCGCUUGGAACGAGUUGGGAUUCAGAGGAAUUGAAGUUUGAUUUUUCCCGUGGGGGGCAGUGUUUCGCAGUGUUGCUGAGGAUCGCUGGAUAAAAUUUUGUAUUUGUCCUCAAUCUUUUUGUCCUUUCCCUUAUUUUUUGAUAUAUCUUAUUGUGUGUUUAAAAGUCUCAAUUGUUAUUACUCCAACAUUUCCUUUUUAUGUACAGCAAAAAGUUCAAAAGGCU
RNA transcript from Lycium barbarum (goji berry), 3618 nucleotides. RefSeq lists it as uncharacterized. The record is from RefSeq and is a predicted model, not a curated record. NCBI's taxonomy places the organism in Eukaryota, Viridiplantae, Streptophyta, Magnoliopsida, Solanales, Solanaceae. The transcript is spliced from 2 exons.